GAUUGGAAGUAAAAGUCGUAACAAGGUCUCCGUUGGUGAACCAGCGGAGGGAUCAUUACCGAGUUAUUACUCCAAACCCUUUGUGAACCUUACCUUUUUGUUGCUCGGCGCACCGCGGGCCGCGGCUUCGGCCCGUCCCGCAGCGCGCCAGAGGACCCAACUCUUCAAUUUAUAGCGUACCUUCUGAUUUACAAAACAAACAAGUUAAAACUUUCAACAACGGAUCUCUUGGUUCUGGCAUCGAUGAAGAACGCAGCGAAAUGCGAUAAGUAAUGUGAAUUGCAGAAUUCAGUGAAUCAUCGAAUCUUUGAACGCACAUUGCGCCCGCCAGUAUUCUGGCGGGCAUGCCUGUUCGAGCGUCAUUUCAACCAUCAAGCCCCAGGCUUGUGUUGGGGACCUGCGGCUGCCGCAGGCCCUGAAAACCAGUGGCGGGCUCGCUGUCACACCGGGCGUAGUAGAUUUUAUCUCGCUCAGGGCGUGCUGCGGGUUCCGGCCGUUAAAAGCCUUUUUUACCCAAGGUUGACCUCGGAUCAGGUAGGAAUACCCGCUGAACUUAAGCAUAUCAAUAAGCGGAGGA
RNAcentral lists this ribosomal RNA (577 nucleotides) under uncultured fungus. Its description in RNAcentral is "eukaryotic LSU rRNA". The stretch from base 209 to 362 matches the Rfam family "5.8S ribosomal RNA". The record is from RNAcentral. Lineage: Eukaryota; Fungi.